Molecule: long non-coding RNA, 856 nt
Filed under: Arachis ipaensis
Lineage: Eukaryota; Viridiplantae; Streptophyta; Magnoliopsida; Fabales; Fabaceae
Description: long non-coding RNA (AIPA_LNC002548)
Source: RNAcentral
AGAGAAAAUAUUUUAAUUUGUUUGGUUACUCCAACUUAGGCUUAAAUCAAAAAAUUUGAAAACAUGGUGAAGAUUACGGUCAAAAUAGCAUUUGUCAUGAUCUUUUUUGCUUUGAUGGCCACUAAUGGUAUUUUCUUUCUCAUCUUCUAUGUAUUUUCUUUUUCUUUUCUAAAAAAAUUUGUUAAUUAUUUUCUUUCAAUCUCCAAAUUGAGGUCACAAAAAAGAAUUCUAGUAUGGUAUUACAUUUUAAAGCCAACUCAAUUUUGGUUGAUAAAAUGUGUUUGUAUUUUCUUUUUUUCUCUCUAAAGCAAUAAAAACAUGCUUUUACUUAAACAAACAACGUGGAUCCUUUUUAGAAUAUAUAUAAGAGAUUUUUAAUGAAAUAUUUUUUAAAACACUGUCUUUUAAGAAUAAAAUUAUUUUUCUAAUAAAAAUAUUUUCCAAAAAAAAAACAUUUUAAAAGUCAAUCCAGAUACAUCCAUUUUUUUUUCUUCUUCUUCUUCUUUAUUUUGUAAAUUUUCUACGAUAUUCUAAAUAUAUUAUGUAUGACACUUUUUUCUUUUUUUCUUUUUUCAUUUUUUUGUAGGAUUUGCUCUCCAAAAAACACCAACAAACAUGGAGCUUCAAAAAAAUAAUUGCCCUCGCCAUGGUUGCAAUUUUUGGCCUGGUGGUUGCGAUUUUUUUAUAAAUACUUGUGCUCCAUUUUUUCCUGUGUGUGAGAAUGGUUGUUGUACCUGUAGAGGGCCGCCGAACAAUGUAAAAACAAAACAAGAACGCCACAUUCGCAUAGACGGUGAAAAACAAAAUUAGUAGGUGCAUACCAUUACAAAUAAUGUAAUAUUAGUCAACAUAUAUU